GACUGGAUCGGACCUCCGCUGGUUUUUCCCGCGGUGAUAUUCCGAAGCAAGUGGUUAUCACCGGGUGAAAACUGGUAGAGGUCCGAUCCAGUC
Molecule: microRNA precursor, 93 nt
Filed under: Caenorhabditis briggsae
Lineage: Eukaryota; Metazoa; Nematoda; Chromadorea; Rhabditida; Rhabditidae
Description: microRNA cbr-mir-35b precursor (cbr-mir-35b-6)
Gene: cbr-mir-35b-6
Rfam family: mir-36 microRNA precursor family
Source: miRBase by way of RNAcentral